CCUGUGAGAUAGGCAGAGAGAAAGUGCUACACUUGUGCAGUUCAACUUGUAAAAAAAAAAAAAAUGAGCAGGAAGAUCUUUUGUUUCCUUCUUUUGGAAAUGAAAUAUCUUUCUGCUCAUUUUUUAAAUAUAUAUAUAUAUAAGUUGAACUGCACAAGUGUGGCACUUUGUCUCUGCCUAACCUACUUC
Non-coding RNA from Podarcis lilfordi (Lilford's wall lizard), 189 nucleotides. Lineage: Eukaryota; Metazoa; Chordata; Lepidosauria; Squamata; Lacertidae. The record is from the annotation of a GenBank genome assembly.